UGUCUGAAAAUAUUCCAUAGCUAUUACUACUAUUAGGAAGGUAAUCAAAAUGAGCGAUACCCCUCAAGUCAAAAAAAGAGGUGACCAUCUAGAUGAGAUUGGUACUCACAUGUGGUAUGAUAAUUGGAUCUGAAGACAAUUUCAGAAGAGGAAUUAGGCUACCAAAAAUCAGACACCGCCAGGCAAAAAUCCAACAUCACUGGCAUUUUAGGAAGGAAUUUAACUUAUUCACAUUCAAGAAAACCGGACCCAACCACAUGAGAGAUGCCGCCUGCUGGCACAGACUUCAGAGGAGGGAAACUGAGGACUAAACCACCGUUCUUAGUUCUGAAGUUCUUCCUGAGGGGCCUAGAGGAGGUCACACCCAGGAGCCAGACCUAACCCAUCUUCCUAGUGACCCCAAAUUUUUAAACAAAGCUUUUCUUCCUUAACCAAUCGCAAAUCAGAAAAUCUUUAAAGCCUGUGAGCUCCCAAUCUGAGGUAUCCUUGCUUUUUAGGUCAAACCAAUGUAUAUCCUCCAUAUAUUGACUUACAACUUUGCCUUCAAUCUCUGCCUCCCUGUCCUUAAAAACUAUUCGUGUCUAGAUGUGGUGCUUAUGCCUGUAAUCCCAGCACUUUGGGAGGCCAAGGAGGGCAGAUGAUGAGGUCAGGAGUUUGAGACCAGCCUGGACAACAUGGUGAAAACCUUAUCUCUACUAAAAAUACAAAAAUUAGCUGGGCAUGGUGGGGGGAGCCUGUAAUCCCAGCUAUUCAGGAGGCGGAGGCAGGAGAAUCACUGAACCUGGAAGGCAGAGGUUGCGGUGAGCCGAGAUCACGCCAUUGUACUCCAGCCUGGGCAACAAGAGCAAACUCUGUCUAAAAACAAAACAAAACCCUUAUUCAUAAGCCAUCUGGGAGUUGGGGUCUUAAGCAUGAGCUGCCUGAUUCUCCUUGCUUGAUGCUCUGCAAUAAAUGUCUCAUGUUCUCUCCCUGCAAAUCCCAAUGUCAGUGUUUGGCUUUGCUGCUCCAGGUGGACAGACAAGUUCAGUUCAGUAACAGUGGUGAUGGAAAUGUCCAGCAGAAUCAAGGCUCAGAAAAGAGAGCAUAACUGGAGAAUGAUUAGAGGGUACUGAACCAUACACAACUUUGAAUUUUGGGUUCAAUCCAGUACCUAACAUGUGGUGAGUGUCCAAUAUAUAUUGU
Molecule: long non-coding RNA, 1182 nt
Organism: Callithrix jacchus (white-tufted-ear marmoset)
Lineage: Eukaryota; Metazoa; Chordata; Mammalia; Primates; Cebidae
Source: RefSeq, a predicted model, not a curated record